AGUGAACGCUGGCGGUAGGCCUAACACAUGCAAGUCGAACGGCAGCACAGUAAGAGCUUGCUCUUACGGGUGGCGAGUGGCGGACGGGUGAGGAAUACAUCGGAAUCUACUUUUUCGUGGGGGAUAACGUAGGGAAACUUACGCUAAUACCGCAUACGACCUACGGGUGAAAGCAGGGGAUCUUCGGACCUUGCGCGAUUGAAUGAGCCAAUGUAGGAUUAGCUAGUUGGCGGGGUAAAGGCCCACCAAGGCGACGAUCCGUAGCUGGCCUGAGAGGAUGAUCAGCCACACUGGAACGGAGACACGGUCCAGACUCCUACGGGAGGCAGAAGUGGGGAAUAUUGGACAAUGGGCGCAAGCCUGAUCCAGCCAUACCGCGUGAGUGAAGAAGGCCUUCGGGUUGUAAAGCCCUUUUGUUGGGAAAGAAAAGCAGCAGGUUAAUACCCCGCUGUUCUGACGGUACCCAAAGAAUAAGCACCGGCUAACUUCGUG
This 492-nucleotide ribosomal RNA is filed under the name uncultured bacterium. Its description in RNAcentral is "partial 16S ribosomal RNA". It matches the Rfam family "Bacterial small subunit ribosomal RNA", at positions 29 to 507 of the family's 1533-position model. The record is from RNAcentral.